GACGAACGCUGGCGGCGUGCCUAAUACAUGCAAGUAGAACGCUGAAGGAGGAGCUUGCUUCUCUGGAUGAGUUGCGAACGGGUGAGUAACGCGUAGGUAACCUGCCUGGUAGCGGGGGAUAACUAUUGGAAACGAUAGCUAAUACCGCAUAAUAGUAGAUGUCGCAUGACAUUUGCUUAAAAGGUGCAAUUGCAUCACUACCAGAUGGACCUGCGUUGUAUUAGCUAGUUGGUGAGGUAACGGCUCACCAAGGCAACGAUACAUAGCCGACCUGAGAGGGUGAUCGGCCACACUGGGACUGAGACACGGCCCAGACUCCUACGGGAGGCAGCAGUAGGGAAUCUUCGGCAAUGGACGGAAGUCUGACCGAGCAACGCCGCGUGAGUGAAGAAGGGUUUCGGAUCGUAAAGCUCUGUUGUAAGAGAAGAACGAGGGUGAGAGUGGAAAGUUCACACUGUGACGGUAUCUUACCAGAAAGGGACGGCUAACUACGUG
RNAcentral lists this ribosomal RNA (495 nucleotides) under uncultured bacterium. RNAcentral describes it as "partial 16S ribosomal RNA". It matches the Rfam family "Bacterial small subunit ribosomal RNA", at positions 28 to 507 of the family's 1533-position model. The record is from RNAcentral.